Molecule: small nuclear RNA, 38 nt
Filed under: Cervus elaphus hippelaphus
Lineage: Eukaryota; Metazoa; Chordata; Mammalia; Artiodactyla; Cervidae
Source: RNAcentral
UCGCUUCUCGGCCUUUUGGCUAAGAUCAAGUGUAGUAU